This 255-nucleotide ribosomal RNA is filed under the name uncultured bacterium. RNAcentral describes it as "partial 16S ribosomal RNA". It matches the Rfam family "Bacterial small subunit ribosomal RNA", at positions 524 to 776 of the family's 1533-position model. The record is from RNAcentral.
UACGUAGGGUGCAAGCGUUAUCCGGAAUUAUUGGGCGUAAAGAGCUCGUAGGCGGUUUGUCGCGUCUGCUGUGAAAACUGGAGGCUCAACCUCCAGCCUGCAGUGGGUACGGGCAGGCUAGAGUUCGGGUAGGGGAGACUGGAAUUCCUGGUGUAGCGGUGAAAUGCGCAGAUAUCAGGAGGAACACCGGUGGCGAAGGCGGGUCUCGUGGGCAAUAACUGACGCUGAGGAGCGAAAGCGUGGGGAGCGAACAGG